UUGAAUUUCUACUCGCAAAGUGUUCGCGUGGUUAAAGUGGUGCAUAGCGUCGACGGUUCGGUGGUUCAUGAGCGUUUAGACAGUUAUCACACUAACGUUACUUUCGUCUGGCGUCUGGUUGCGAGCAGGCAUUGGCAGACACGAAAUCGCGCAUAACGCAUUUUUGACAUUUCGGCAAUUGUCCGUCCGUCAAUGCCAAGGCGGACGUCGAAGAGUUGACCGAAUUUCGCUUACGUUUCCGCACAGUUUUGAUUUAAUUUCGCUUUUCUGUUUUAUUCUGUGUUAUUGUUUUCUCUGUUGUUUUAUGAAAGCCCAACGUGACCCUGUUGUGGCAUUGUCGCUGGCGCGUCGGUGAAACUUGCUAAAGUGAUCAGAAUUCCAAAAAGGAACUGCGGAGAGAAGCGCAGUCAACUACAUAAUAUUUCGAAUAAACGCGAAGUGGAAUGCGAAGGUGUAAGAGCAAAGUUGAAACAAGUAAAAAUACUGUUGAAAAACAAAUCUGAAAUUCGUGUGAAGCAAAGAGAACGCGUCAGAAAAAGUGAAAACAAGGGAGGGCUGAGAGAAUUGCCAGAGUUUUUCCCGAUCAAAAGAAUUUGCUGAAUAAACAGUUGCAUUGAAAAUAUAAAAAUCCCGCUGCGA
This 639-nucleotide unclassified non-coding RNA is filed under the name Bactrocera tryoni. RNAcentral's name for it is "mucin-3A-like, transcript variant X1". Lineage: Eukaryota; Metazoa; Arthropoda; Insecta; Diptera; Tephritidae. The record is from RNAcentral.